This 455-nucleotide ribosomal RNA is filed under the name uncultured organism. RNAcentral's name for it is "partial 16S ribosomal RNA". It matches the Rfam family "Bacterial small subunit ribosomal RNA", at positions 330 to 801 of the family's 1533-position model. The record is from RNAcentral.
CGUACACUCCUACGGGAGGCAGCAGUGGGGAAUAUUGGACAAUGGGCGCAAGCCUGAUCCAGCCAUGCCGCGUGAGUGAUGAAGGCCCUAGGGUUGUAAAGCUCUUUCACCGGUGAAGAUAAUGACGGUAACCGGAGAAGAAGCCCCGGCUAACUUCGUGCCAGCAGCCGCGGUAAUACGAAGGGGGCUAGCGUUGUUCGGAUUUACUGGGCGUAAAGCGCACGUAGGCGGACUAUUAAGUCAGGGGUGAAAUCCCGGGGCUCAACCCCGGAACUGCCUUUGAUACUGGUAGUCUUGAGUUCGAGAGAGGUGAGUGGAAUUCCGAGUGUAGAGGUGAAAUUCGUAGAUAUUCGGAGGAACACCAGUGGCGAAGGCGGCUCACUGGCUCGAUACUGACGCUGAGGUGCGAAAGCGUGGGGAGCAAACAGGAUUAGAAACCCUAGUAGUCCCAUGAU